CUGGGGCCUCAUGUACAAAGCUUGCGUACGCACAAAAAUGCUGCGUACGCCACUUCUCACGCUCACGUCCGGAUGUACGAAGACUGACUUGAACGUGAGAAUGUGCGGCCCUCCACGCAAACUUCAUGUCUGGCGUACGCACAUUUCCAAUGUGUAUCGUCAGUUGGCGACACUUAGAGGCAAUGCAGCGCAACAACAUUAGUUGAUCGCGAGUCUAGGCCUUUAUUUGCACAGUAUAUUGUGAAAUGUGGGUUAUUAAAAAUUAUAACACUUUGAAAGUAGGCCUAUUAUCAGCCGUGGCCUACUGGUUAGCGCUUCGGAC
Molecule: long non-coding RNA, 322 nt
Organism: Alosa sapidissima (American shad)
Lineage: Eukaryota; Metazoa; Chordata; Actinopteri; Clupeiformes; Clupeidae
Exons: 3
Source: RefSeq, a predicted model, not a curated record